Molecule: ribosomal RNA, 32 nt
Filed under: Misodendrum angulatum
Lineage: Eukaryota; Viridiplantae; Streptophyta; Magnoliopsida; Santalales; Misodendraceae
Description: partial 26S ribosomal RNA
Source: RNAcentral
AGACUACCCGCUGAAUUUAAGCAUAUCAAUAA